ACACCUCAACUCUCAUGGUUUGCCGUGAUGAGCUUGGACUUUGGGGGAUUUGCUGGCCAUGUGGUUGGCUCCUCUCAAAUAGAUCAGCUUGCCAGCGUUUGGUGGCUUCACGGGUGUGAUAACUGUCUACGCCUGUGGUCCAUUGGGUGACCUUCAGUGAUGGAGGUUUGCUGGAGCUUACAAACGUCUCUCCUCGGCGGAGACGGCUUUUCGAAC
This 216-nucleotide unclassified non-coding RNA is filed under the name uncultured fungus. RNAcentral's name for it is "sequence contains ITS2". The record is from RNAcentral. Lineage: Eukaryota; Fungi.